GACAGAGGUGCCAAGCGUUAGGCGGAAUCACUGGGCUUAAAGCGUGUGUAGGCGGAAUGGUAAGUACCUUGUGAAAUCCCACGGCUCAACCGUGGAACUGCUUGGUAUACUGCUUUUCUUGAGCCACUUAGGGGCAACCGGAACAAACGGUGGAGCGGUGAAAUGCGUAGAUAUCGUUUGGAACGCCAAUGGUGAAAACAGGUUGCUGGGAGUGUGCUGACGCUGAGACACGAAAGCCAGGGGAGCAA
Molecule: ribosomal RNA, 248 nt
Filed under: uncultured bacterium
Lineage: Bacteria
Description: partial 16S ribosomal RNA
Rfam family: Bacterial small subunit ribosomal RNA
Source: RNAcentral